RNAcentral lists this ribosomal RNA (442 nucleotides) under uncultured bacterium. RNAcentral describes it as "partial 16S ribosomal RNA". It matches the Rfam family "Bacterial small subunit ribosomal RNA", at positions 338 to 795 of the family's 1533-position model. The record is from RNAcentral.
CCUACGGGAGGCAGCAGUGGGGAAUAUUGGGCAAUGGGCGCAAGCCUGACCCAGCAACGCCGCGUGAAGGAAGAAGGCUCUCUGGUUGUAAACUUCUUUUAAGAGGGAAGAGCAGAAGACGGUACCUCUUGAAUCAGCCACGGCUAACUACGUGCCAGCAGCCGCGGUAAUACGUAGGUGGCAAGCGUUUUCCGGAUUUACUGGGUGUAACGGGCGUGCAGCCGGGAAGACAAGUCAGAUGUGAAAUCCCGCGGCUCAAACGCGGAACUGCAUUUGAAACUGUUUUUCUUGAGUACCGGAGAGGUCAUCGGAAUGCCUUGUGUAGCGGUGAAAUGCGUAGAUAUAAGGAAGAACACCAGUGGCGAAGGCGGAUGACUGGACGGCAACUGACGGUGAGGCGCGAAAGCGUGGGGAGCAAACAGGAUUAGAUACCCCAGUAGUC